UACGUAGGGUGCGAGCGUUAAUCGGAAUUACUGGGCGUAAAGGGUGCGCAGGCGGUUCUGGAAGUCAGGCGUGAAAGCCCCGGGCUUAACCUGGGAAUGGCGCUUGAAACUACAGGACUGGAGUAUGGCAGAGGGAGGUGGAAUUCCACGUGUAGCGGUGAAAUGCGUAGAGAUGUGGAGGAACACCGAUGGCGAAGGCAGCCUCCUGGGCCAAUACUGACGCUCAUGCACGAAAGCGUGGGGAGCAAACAGG
RNAcentral lists this ribosomal RNA (253 nucleotides) under uncultured bacterium. Its description in RNAcentral is "partial 16S ribosomal RNA". It matches the Rfam family "Bacterial small subunit ribosomal RNA", at positions 524 to 776 of the family's 1533-position model. The record is from RNAcentral.